RNAcentral lists this ribosomal RNA (453 nucleotides) under Planococcoides robustus. RNAcentral describes it as "partial 18S small subunit ribosomal RNA". It matches the Rfam family "Eukaryotic small subunit ribosomal RNA", at positions 92 to 486 of the family's 1831-position model. Lineage: Eukaryota; Metazoa; Arthropoda; Insecta; Hemiptera; Pseudococcidae. The record is from RNAcentral.
AAAGGNUCAUUAAWUCAGUUAUGGUUCCUUAGAUUGUACCCACGUUACUUGGAUAACUGKGGUAAUUCUARAGCUAAUACAUGCCGACAGAGUUCCAACCAAGUGCGCGGCUUCGGCCGUUGCAUUUAGGAAGGAACGCUUUUAUUANAUCAAAACCGGCUAAKCGGCGGARACCUCGCGUCCCCGUCGUUAGNGGCCUGCGCAAAGAUUUGGUGACUCUGAAUAACUUCGAGYUGAUCGCACGGKCUCGUACCGGCGACGUAUCUUUCAAAUGUCUGCCUUAUCAACUGUCGACGGUAGGUUCGACGCCUACCGUGGUGGUAACGGGUAACGGGGAAUCAGGGUUCGAUUCCGGAGAGGGAGCCUGAGAAACGGCUACCACAUCCAAGGAAGGCAGCAGGCGCGCAAAUUACCCACUCCCAGCUCGGGGAGGUAGUGNYGAAAAAUAACGAU